Molecule: ribosomal RNA, 253 nt
Filed under: uncultured bacterium
Lineage: Bacteria
Description: partial 16S ribosomal RNA
Rfam family: Bacterial small subunit ribosomal RNA
Source: RNAcentral
UACGUAGGGUGCAAGCGUUGUCCGGAAUUAUUGGGCGUAAAGAGCUCGUAGGCGGCUUGUCACGUCUGCUGUGAAAACUCGGGGCUCAACCCCGAGCCUGCAGUGGAUACGGGCUAGCUAGAGUGCGGUAGGGGAGACUGGAAUUCCUGGUGUAGCGGUGAAAUGCGUAGAUAUCUGGAGGAACACCAACGGCGAAGGCAGCACUCUGGGCCGGUACUGACGCUGAGGAGCGAAAGCGUGGGGAGCAAACAGG